Molecule: ribosomal RNA, 324 nt
Filed under: uncultured bacterium
Lineage: Bacteria
Description: bacterial SSU rRNA
Rfam family: Bacterial small subunit ribosomal RNA
Source: RNAcentral
GACGAACGCUGGCGGCGUGCUUAACACAUGCAAGUCGAACGGAGCACCCCUGAAGGAGUUUUCGGACAACGGAAGGGAAUGCUUAGUGGCGGACUGGUGAGUAACGCGUGAGGAACCUGCCUUUCGGAGGGGGACAACAGUUGGAAACGACUGCUAAUACCGCAUGAUACAUUGGGGUCGCAUGGCUCUGAUGUCAAAGAUUUAUCGCCGAAAGAUGGCCUCGCGUCUGAUUAGCUAGUUGGUGGGGUAACGGCCCACCAAGGCGACGAUCAGUAGCCGGACUGAGAGGUUGGCCGGCCACAUUGGGACUGAGAUACGGCCCAG